Molecule: small nuclear RNA, 172 nt
Filed under: Castor canadensis (American beaver)
Lineage: Eukaryota; Metazoa; Chordata; Mammalia; Rodentia; Castoridae
Description: U2 spliceosomal RNA (ENSCCNG00000015630.1)
Rfam family: U2 spliceosomal RNA
About the family: U2 is a small nuclear RNA (snRNA) component of the spliceosome (involved in pre-mRNA splicing). Complementary binding between U2 snRNA (in an area lying towards the 5' end but 3' to hairpin I) and the branchpoint sequence (BPS) of the intron results the bulging out of an unpaired adenosine, on the BPS, which initiates a nucleophilic attack at the intronic 5' splice site, thus starting the first of two transesterification reactions that mediate splicing.
Source: Rfam by way of RNAcentral
AUCACUUCUAGACCUUUGGUUAAGAUCAAGUGUAGUAUGUAAAAUUAUCAGUUUAGUAUCCGAUAUGUCAUCUGAGGACAACAUAUUAAAUGGACUUUUGGACAGGCUCUUCCUCUAACCUCUCCAUGCACCAGCUUGGUACUGUAAUACUUCAGAGAGUCAUGCCUCACUG